This is a microRNA precursor of Dipodomys ordii (Ord's kangaroo rat), 85 nucleotides long. Lineage: Eukaryota; Metazoa; Chordata; Mammalia; Rodentia; Heteromyidae. The record is from Ensembl.
GCGGGGUGAGGUAGUAGGUUGUGUGGUUUCAGGGCAGUGAUGUUGCCCCUGGGAAGAUAACUAUACAACCUACUGCCUUCCCCGA